UGUUGAAUUCAUGGUGGACCUCAGCUGUGUUGCUGGUCCCUGGUAUGAGAAAUGCUGGUCAUCAGAGCCCCUGUUCUCCUGCUGGGGCUAAAGGAAGGCACCAGCCCUGCCUUAGCUACUGCUUUGUAGCCAAGAGGUACCCCGGUGUGGAGCUUCUGUUAGGAAGUCCUCAAUGAAUGAUUUUCACCAGAUUCUUUCCUCUUGGGAUUAUUCUGUGUUAGACCCGUUGUCCUUGAACAAACAACUCCCUGUGUCCCCUGCUUCCCUGCAGCCCCCCAGAGUAAGUAUUCAGUUGCACAGGUCCUCCCAUGGGAAGAUCCUGAAUGAUCAGGGAUUUCGAAGCUGCUCUCAUUGCCUCGUGUGCGUCUGCACUGGAAAAGGCCAUUUUUAGGGAGUUGCUUUUAAGGGCAGAAUUUCAGUGUGGUUGCCAAAACCCCAAGGGAAAAAAACCUUCACCACACCACAACAUCCCAAUUUAAAAAAUGUACACGGGAUGACUACCAAGUCUCUCGUUCAAAAGAGGUGUCGAUGCCUGAAAGGAGUUCUAAAAUGCCUCUCGCCACGGUACUGGGCUCAGCAUGAGCUGAAGACUUGGGGGAGGGGAGAUGAUUUUGUCUAGGGGAAUUGUUGAGAUACUUGGGAUCUGAGUCUUGGCAAGAUGACAACAUCUUUAUCUUGAAAAUAAACUAUAGUAUGUUCUUACUCACACCCUUCCCCUCUGUGCAGGAUGCUGGAGCGCAGCAGCAGGAGUGAGAGGGUUGGCGUGCUGCCUCUCCUGUUUCACGGGAGACUAAUGCCUUAGGUUUGCCCUCAGGAAACCCCAAGAAUUAAAGUUAAGGAAAGCUUUGAAAGGACGGUUAGAGACCCACUUAGGCUGGUAUUCUCAGAGGUCUUAAUGGAUGCUGUUCUCUGCAGUGAUGACCUAGCACACAGUACCACAGAGUUGGUGGAAGGUUUGGGUUGACUGGGUAUCUUGAAAAUUGAUUGAUUUAUUUGAAACCAGCUGUUUUCUUUACCAGUAGAAAAGUAUCAUAUUCUGCCUUGGGGCAGCUCUCACACAAAUCCCGAUUGGCUGGUUAGUCAGUCCUAAAAAAGGUUAAUGCCAGGUCAGUUAUUAAAUCUCCGUAAGAGCCCAUUACCUUCAUCCAGGUCCCUGGCCAUGAGCCUGUCUCCGACCCUGAAGGGUAGGCCUCUGAGAAGGGCAGGCUGUUGCUGGUGAGGCCCAAGGCAGGAGGAGGAAGGGAGCAGGCUGCUCCUGGGAGAAAGUCCAAUGAGAGCAGAUCCCUUGGCCACCUUUGUAUGGAAAGAGCCUUGACCUCACCAUUAAAAGUGAAUAGAAUGGUGGCAAGGCGGAGUUAUAGAUACUUUUCCUUGCUUUGGGGUUGACUCUUGCCCCAGGUGCUGCCCCUUCUCCCAGAAACCACCGAUCCAUUUCCCUCACCUAGUCACCUCCAGACCCCAGAAGCUCUCCCCAACCCAGCUGAAUUCCUCUGCAAACGAUUCAAGGGGCUCUGAUAGGUCACACAGUGCCACCUUGUGUGCUGGACCAUAUCUGGAGGGAGAACUGAGUGAGGGGGCACAGGGAUUGCCUCCAGAUGGGACGAGCAGGGGAAAGAAAAUGGUAGCCACUUUUACAUUGGUUUGGGUAGUAAUUAUUGAUUCAGGAAGCAAAUACAAAAUCUUGAAUGAAAUGACUUGGAAAAAGUAAAUAGAAUCAAGAUCCCAAGAGGAGCUGAAAAUAAUAAAUGGGAGCAGGGUGUGGGGGAAUGGUCGGUAAGUGAGAAAUGCUAACAUGAUAGACUAAAGCUUCAGGAUUGUUGGAGGUAGAGCAGGAACUGUGUACUGCAUAGUUCCCAAAUGCCCUGGUGUUCUGAUGGGGGAUGGAAACUAAAACACGGGCCAGGUUGGAUUUCAUACUGUAGUCCUGCCAUUUUUCAUCCUAGAGCAGAGAUAAAAGUUGGGCCUGGGCGAUAGCUCAUUCUCUCUGAAAGGCUGCUAGUUAGGCCCAGCCUGUCACCCUGGAUCAUGUGUGUCGUGUGUAUUGAGCAGGGAGCUGAGGCUUGCAGAUAGCCAAGUGGUGAGAGGCCCCACUGACCUCGGUCUGUUUCUCACUGGAGCGCAGGUUUGGGAGCAGCAGCAACACCACAUCCUUCGGCACGCUCGCGAGUCAGAAUGCCCCCACUUUCGGAUCACUGUCCCAACAGACUUCUGGUUUUGGGACCCAGAGUAGCGGAUUCUCUGGUUUUGGAUCAGGCACAGGAGGGUUCAGCUUUGGAUCAAAUAACUCGUAAGUAUCCCCCUUUUUGAGUCUGACCUUAAUUAAAAGCGUUAAAUAAGGUUGGAAGUGUGUGGAUCUUGCUGGAUUUGUGCAUUUUCUUUUCGUGUUUUCCUGUUUUUAGAGUUUGUCCUGGAAGUGUGGGGGUUCAGCAGCAGGGUUUGGGUUUUGUAGACUUGCUCUUCUCUGUAGCAAUAUGGCAGGAGGUGCCAGGCCUCGCCUUCUUAAGAGGCAUGGUUCAAAGAGAAAAGAGCACGCCUACCAGUAAGCCGGGCCUGAGGGCAGCGCUGAGGAGAUGCUGCUCCUGACUUCCCUGGAGGUUUCUCAGAAGCUGCAUGCUAACCCCUGGGCUCUGGGCCAUCACCAGGUCUCAUGUGUUGAUCCACCCUCUGUGCUUCUGUGUAAAAUUUCAUGGCGUUAAAAUUCAGUCUUAGCCAGGUGGGUGGUUCACGCCUAUAAUCCCAGCACUUUGGGAGGCUGAGGUGGGAGGAUUGCUUGAGCCCAGGAGUCAAAACCAGCCUGGGCAACAUAGUGAGACCCCAUCCCUACUAAAAAUUAAAAAAAUUAGCCGUGCAUGCUGGCUUAUGCCUGUGGUCCCAGCUACUCCAGAAGCUGAGGCGGGAGGAUCACUUGAGCCUGGGAGGUCGAGGCUGCAGUGAGCCAAGAUGGUACCACUACACUCUAGUCUGGGUGACAGCCAGACCCUAUAUCA
RNAcentral lists this small RNA (2987 nucleotides) under Pongo abelii (Sumatran orangutan). Its description in RNAcentral is "retained intron". Lineage: Eukaryota; Metazoa; Chordata; Mammalia; Primates; Hominidae. The record is from RNAcentral.